Molecule: ribosomal RNA, 498 nt
Filed under: uncultured bacterium
Lineage: Bacteria
Description: partial 16S ribosomal RNA
Rfam family: Bacterial small subunit ribosomal RNA
Source: RNAcentral
AUUGAACGCUGGCGGUAUGCUUAACACAUGCAAGUCGAACGAUGAGAAAGAGCUUGCUCUUUCGAUUAGUGGCGGACGGGUGCGUAACGCGUAGGAAUCUACCUAUUAGUGGGGGACAACUUAGGGAAACUUAAGCUAAUACCGCAUACGCCCUACGGGGGAAAGAAGGGAUCGCAAGACCUUUUGCUAAUAGAUGAGCCUGCGUAGGAUUAGCUAGUGGGUGGGGUAAAAGCUCACCAAGGCGACGAUCCUUAACUGGUUUGAGAGAAUGAUCAUUAACACUGGAACUGAGACACGGUCCAGACCCCUACGGGAGGCAGCAGUGGGAAAUAUUGGACAAUGGGCGAAAGCCUGAUCCAGCAAUACCGCGGGUGUGAAGAAGGCCUUAGGGUUGUAAAGCACUUUCAAUUGGAAGGAAAACCUCGAAGCUAAUACCUUCGAGUUUGACAUUACCUUUAGAAGAAGCACCGGCUAACUCCGUGCCAGCAGCCGCCGUAA